AAGCUAUCGCUUUUGGAUGGACCCGCGGCGUAUUAGCUAGUUGGUGAGGUAACGGCUCACCAAGGCAAUGAUACGUAGCCGAACUGAGAGGUUGAUCGGCCACAUUGGGACUGAGACACGGCCCAAACUCCUACGGGAGGCAGCAGUAGGGAAUCUUCCACAAUGGACGCAAGUCUGAUGGAGCAACGCCGCGUGAGUGAAGAAGGCUUUCGGGUCGUAAAACUCUGUUGUUGGAGAAGAAUGGUCGGCAGAGUAACUGUUGUCGGCGUGACGGUAUCCAACCAGAAAGCCACGGCUAACUACGUGCCAGCAGCCGCGGUAAUACGUAGGUGGCAAGCGUUAUCCGGAUUUAUUGGGCGUAAAGCGAGCGCAGGCGGUUUUUUAAGUCUGAUGUGAAAGCCCUCGGCUUAACCGAGGAAGUGCAUCGGAAACUGGGAAACUUGAGUGCAGAAGAGGACAGUGGAACUCCAUGUGUAGCGGUGAAAUGCGUAGAUAUAUGGAAGAACACCAGUGGCGAAGGCGGCUGUCUGGUCUGUAACUGACGCUGAGGCUCGAAAGCAUGGGUAGCGAACAGGAUUAGAUACCCUGGUAGUCCAUGCCGUAAACGAUGAAUGCUAGGUGUUGGAGGGUUUCCGCCCUUCAGUGCCGCAGCUAACGCAUUAAGCAUUCCGCCUGGGGAGUACGACCGCAAGGUUGAAACUCAAAGGAAUUGACGGGGGCCCGCACAAGCGGUGGAGCAUGUGGUUUAAUUCGAAGCAACGCGAAGAACCUUACCAGGUCUUGACAUCUUUUGAUCACCUGAGAGAUCAGGUUUCCCCUUCGGGGGCAAAAUGACAGGUGGUGCAUGGUUGUCGUCAGCUCGUGUCGUGAGAUGUUGGGUUAAGUCCCGCAACGAGCGCAACCCUUAUGACUAGUUGCCAGCAUUUAGUUGGGCACUCUAGUAAGACUGCCGGUGACAAACCGGAGGAAGGUGGGGAUGACGUCAAAUCAUCAUGCCCCUUAUGACCUGGGCUACACACGUGCUACAAUGGAUGGUACAACGAGUUGCGAGACCGCGAGGUCAAGCUAAUCUCUUAAAGCCAUUCUCAGUUCGGACUGUAGGCUGCAACUCGCCUACACGAAGUCGGAAUCGCUAGUAAUCGCGGAUCAGCACGCCGCGGUGAAUACGUUCCCGGGCCUUGUACACACCGCCCGUCACACCAUGAGAGUUUGUAACACCCGAAGCCGGUGGCGUAACCCUUUUAGGGAGCGAGCCGUCUAAGGUGGGACAAAUGAUUAGGGUGAAGUCGUAACAAGGUAGCCGUAGGAGAACCUGCGGCUGGAUCACCUCCUUU
RNAcentral lists this ribosomal RNA (1334 nucleotides) under Lacticaseibacillus rhamnosus. RNAcentral's name for it is "bacterial SSU rRNA". It matches the Rfam family "Bacterial small subunit ribosomal RNA", at positions 209 to 1533 of the family's 1533-position model. The record is from RNAcentral. Lineage: Bacteria; Bacillati; Bacillota; Bacilli; Lactobacillales; Lactobacillaceae.